Molecule: long non-coding RNA, 162 nt
Organism: Sapajus apella (tufted capuchin)
Lineage: Eukaryota; Metazoa; Chordata; Mammalia; Primates; Cebidae
Exons: 2
Source: RefSeq, a predicted model, not a curated record
AAAAACUAGCUGGGCAUGUUGGCGCACGCCUGUAGUCCCAGCUACUCGGGAGGCUGAGGGAGGAGAGUCACUUUAACUCGGGAGAUGGAGAUUGAAAUGAGCUAAGAUCACAACACUACGACUCCAGCCUAGGCAACAGAGUGAGAGACUGUCUCAAAAAAA